CUGGUGGCGAGCGGCGGACGGGUGAGUAAUGCCUAGGAAUCUGCCUGGUAGUGGGGGAUAACGCUCGGAAACGGACGCUAAUACCGCAUACGUCCUACGGGAGAAAGCAGGGGACCUUCGGGCCUUGCGCUAUCAGAUGAGCCUAGGUCGGAUUAGCUAGUUGGUGAGGUAAUGGCUCACCAAGGCGACGAUCCGUAACUGGUCUGAGAGGAUGAUCAGUCACACUGGAACUGAGACACGGUCCAGACUCCUACGGGAGGCAGCAGUGGGGAAUAUUGGACAAUGGGCGAAAGCCUGAUCCAGCCAUGCCGCGUGUGUGAAGAAGGUCUUCGGAUUGUAAAGCACUUUAAGUUGGGAGGAAGGGCAGUUACCUAAUACGUGAUUGUUUUGACGUUACCGACAGAAUAAGCACCGGCUAACUCUGUGCCAGCAGCCGCGGUAAUACAGAGGGUGCAAGCGUUAAUCGGAAUUACUGGGCGUAAAGCGCGCGUAGGUGGUUUGUUAAGUUGGAUGUGAAAUCCCCGGGCUCAACCUGGGAACUGCAUCCAAAACUGGCAAGCUAGAGUAUG
This 569-nucleotide ribosomal RNA is filed under the name Pseudomonas sp. EECC-264. RNAcentral's name for it is "bacterial SSU rRNA". It matches the Rfam family "Bacterial small subunit ribosomal RNA", at positions 85 to 650 of the family's 1533-position model. The record is from RNAcentral. Lineage: Bacteria; Pseudomonadati; Pseudomonadota; Gammaproteobacteria; Pseudomonadales; Pseudomonadaceae.